Molecule: ribosomal RNA, 262 nt
Filed under: Lactobacillus gasseri
Lineage: Bacteria; Bacillati; Bacillota; Bacilli; Lactobacillales; Lactobacillaceae
Description: partial 16S ribosomal RNA
Rfam family: Bacterial small subunit ribosomal RNA
Source: RNAcentral
AGCAACGCCGCGUGAGUGAAGAAGGGUUUCGGCUCGUAAAGCUCUGUUGGUAGUGAAGAAAGAUAGAGGUAGUAACUGGCCUUUAUUUGACGGUAAUUACUUAGAAAGUCACGGCUAACUACGUGCCAGCAGCCGCGGUAAUACGUAGGUGGCAAGCGUUGUCCGGAUUUAUUGGGCGUAAAGCGAGUGCAGGCGGUUCAAUAAGUCUGAUGUGAAAGCCUUCGGCUCAACCGGAGAAUUGCAUCAGAAACUGUUGAACUGA